Long non-coding RNA from Ceratina calcarata, 1537 nucleotides. RefSeq lists it as uncharacterized. NCBI's taxonomy places the organism in Eukaryota, Metazoa, Arthropoda, Insecta, Hymenoptera, Apidae. The transcript has 2 exons. The record is from RefSeq and is a predicted model, not a curated record.
UAUAAGUACAAAUAAGUACAUGAAUAAGGAGUGUGACGGCGAGACCGUAGAGCGGUCGAUCGCGAGCAUCGAGCAGCUAAUCAUGAAUGGAAUAUAGCGCAGCAUUCGCAACUACGAGCUGUCACUGGUUACUACGGGCUGGCAAGGGCCGAUCGCAGAUUCACGGGCCAACGGUGAAAAGGUGUCACGUGCGCGUUAUCGCAAAUCACUGUUACUGCUGUGUGGAGGGGGCUCGGCCCGUUCAUUCGGCCCUUGCAGGACUCUGAAUUCCUGUAUCGAGAUUCCUUCCACUGCAUCCAUAAUUAUGGCCUGGUCCUUGGUAGGGAAUGAUUCUUUUUGUACCACAGGGACAUACGAGACAGUGGUAGGUUCUUUUUGACUUGGAUUGUCCAUUGUAUUAUCUUUUUAUUUUGGUUUGGAGCUCCUGUUAUCAGAAGCUCCUUUGCAUGUAUGCAAAGGGUAGCCAGGUGUCGGUCACCCAGAUAUGAGGUCGAAUGCUUCACACCGGUGCGGAAGAGUAAUUAUCUAUGUACUAGCUCACUAAACCUCGGUAACAGGACUCGUAAACACGUCUUACUUCAGCGACGGUUCAAACAGAACUCCCUGAAUAACAAUUAAUACACUUAAUCGUUCUUCAAGUGGAAUGGAUAAGCAAAAAGAGAGAUUGGGCUUACUCAUUCAUCCACAAGAGCACCUGCUCCGAGGAAGAUGAGUCACGGUUAGUGGGUCAGCGUACCGAUCCUUACCGCUUGCAGGUAGAAUCGGCCACAGAUGAUCUUCGGUUUAGGGAAGGAACCCCGCAAUGACAUUUACACUGCACGAUCACUGUCACUCUACACUUAAAAAUUUUAUCAAGAUUGUUGCUCCUGCGUCCUAUCAAUACACGUCUUCGAAAGGAGUUGAUUGACUUUUAUAGACGAACUUAACUUCACUACACCACUGUCACUUCCCACUUAAAAAUUUUCAAACACUUACACUGUUGCCCCUGCACUCUAACAUUAAACGUCCCAGAAAGUAACCGAAUGUUUUUCUGAGAGUGACAGUGAUCAUGCAGUGUAAAUGUCAUUGCGGGGUUUCUUUCCUGGAGCGUCGGACGAGACGCUAAGCAACACGUUUCCAAAAAACAUAGAAUACUUUACGGCUCAUAUUUUUUGUGUCUACCAAUUUAAUCUCAACGGGCCAGAAGGGUAUGUCAAUAGUCAUCCCAAAACGCUUGUUUUACGACCAAGUAAAUCCAAACACCAACAUCUGCUGACCAGAGGCCAUUUGGGCCUCAGGUAAAAAGGGCUCCUACGCGGGACCUCCGUCGGCCACGGUCACGACUCCCAGUUUUUUCCUCAUUGGAGGAAUAACAAGUAUGCAAUUUUGUCGCAUGCACUUCGGAGGAGAGGCACAGCCAAUCAAGAAGAACGAGAAACUAGAAGCCAGCAGACAGUUUUCUCUAGAGUCAGUCAGCUCCGACAAAGAGCCAAGGAACCAUCUCGUAAAAUAUUUUGUACACGAAGUUUUAGAAUAAAGUUAUCUUGUUAUCAUGUUA